RNAcentral lists this ribosomal RNA (697 nucleotides) under Sordariomycetes sp. Its description in RNAcentral is "eukaryotic LSU rRNA". The stretch from base 278 to 697 matches the Rfam family "Eukaryotic large subunit ribosomal RNA", at positions 1 to 424 of the family's 3401-position model. The record is from RNAcentral. Lineage: Eukaryota; Fungi; Ascomycota; Sordariomycetes.
GCGAUAAGUAAUGUGAAUUGCAAAAUUCAGUGAAUCAUCGAAUCUUUGAACGCACAUUGCGCCCAUUAGUACUCUAGUGGGCAUGCCUGUUCGAGCGUCAUUACGACCCUUAAGCCUAGCUUAGUAUUGGGAACCUACGUGCGGCAGCUACCCUGUAGCUACCCUGUAGCUCCUUAAAGACAACGGCGGAGACGUGGAGUCCUCUGAGCUUAGUAACCUUUCUAGCGCCUGAGAGCGCCCCGCCCCCCGCGCCAAAAACCCCCAACUCUUUAGUGGUUGACCUCGGAUCAGGUAGGAAUACCCGCUGAACUUAAGCAUAUCAAUAAGCGGAGGAAAAGAAACCAACAGGGAUUGCCUUAGUAACGGCGAGUGAAGCGGCAACAGCUCAAAUUUGAAAGCUGGCCUUCGGGUCCGCGUUGUAAUUUGUAGAGGAUGCUUUUGGUUAGGUGCCUUACGAGUUCCCUGGAACGGGACGCCUUAGAGGGUGAGAGCCCCGUACGUUUGGUUACCGAGCCUCUGUAAAGCUCCUUCGACGAGUCGAGUAGUUUGGGAAUGCUGCUCUAAAUGGGAGGUAAAUUUCUUCUAAAGCUAAAUACCGGCCAGAGACCGAUAGCGCACAAGUAGAGUGAUCGAAAGAUGAAAAGCACUUUGAAAAGAGGGUUAAAUAGCACGUGAAAUUGUUGAAAGGGAAGCGUUU